This 253-nucleotide ribosomal RNA is filed under the name uncultured bacterium. RNAcentral's name for it is "partial 16S ribosomal RNA". It matches the Rfam family "Bacterial small subunit ribosomal RNA", at positions 524 to 776 of the family's 1533-position model. The record is from RNAcentral.
GACGUAGGGCGCGAGCGUUGUCCGGAUUUAUUGGGCGUAAAGAGCUCGUAGGCGGCUUGUCGCGUCGUCCGUGAAAACCCACGGCUUAACUGUGGGCUUGCGGUCGAUACGGGCAGGCUGGAGUUCGGUAGGGGAGACUGGAAUUCCUGGUGUAGCGGUGAAAUGCGCAGAUAUCAGGAGGAACACCGGUGGCGAAGGCGGGUCUCUGGGCCGAUAUUGACGCUGAGGAGCGAAAGCGUGGGGAGCGAACAGG